GCCUCUGUAGCACAGUAGGUAGCGCGUCAGUCUCAUAAUCCCUCGAAAGAGAAAUCUGAAGGUCGUGAGUUCGAUCCUCACCCGGGGCA
This is a non-coding RNA of Stegodyphus mimosarum, 89 nucleotides long. NCBI's taxonomy places the organism in Eukaryota, Metazoa, Arthropoda, Arachnida, Araneae, Eresidae. The record is from Rfam.